This 406-nucleotide ribosomal RNA is filed under the name uncultured bacterium. RNAcentral's name for it is "partial 16S ribosomal RNA". It matches the Rfam family "Bacterial small subunit ribosomal RNA", at positions 30 to 526 of the family's 1533-position model. The record is from RNAcentral.
AUUGAACGCUGGCGGCAGGCCUAACACACGCAAGUCGAACGAGUGGCGGACGGGUGAGUAAUGUCUGGGAAACUGCCUGAUGGCGGGGGAUAAAUACUGGAAACGGUAGCUAAUACCGCAUACCAUCGGAUGUGCCCAGAUGGGAUUAGCUAGUAGGUGGGGUAACGGCUCACCUAGGCGACGAUCCCUAGCUGUUCUGAGAGGCUGACCAGCCACACUGGAGCUGAGACACGGUCCAGACUCCUACGGGAGGCAGCAGUGGGAAAUAUUGCACAUUGGGCGCAAGCCUGAGGCAGCCAUGCCGCGUGUAUGAAGAAGGCCUUCGGGGUGUAAAGUACUGUCAUCGGGGAGGCGUUACCCGCAGAGGAAGCACCGGCUAACUCCGGGCCAGCAGCCGCGGUAAUUC